AACGAACGCUGGCGGCAUGCCUAACACAUGCAAGUCGAACGAGACCUUCGGGUCUAGUGGCGCACGGGUGCGUAACGCGUGGGAACCUGCCCUUAGGUUCGGAAUAACUCCCCGAAAGGGGUGCUAAUACCGGAUAAUGUCUUCGGACCAAAGAUUUAUCGCCUUUGGAUGGGCCCGCGUUGGAUUAGCUAGUUGGUAGGGUAAAAGCCUACCAAGGCGACGAUCCAUAGCUGGUCUGAGAGGAUGAUCAGCCACACUGGGACUGAGACACGGCCCAGACCCUUAGGGAAGGAAGAAGGGGGAAUAUUGGACAAUGGGCGAAAGCCUGAUCCAGCAAUGCCGCGUGAGUGAUGAAGGCCUUAGGGUUGUAAAGCUCUUUUACCCGGGAUGAUAGUGACAGUACCGGGAGAAUAAGCUCCGGCUAACUCCGUG
This 432-nucleotide ribosomal RNA is filed under the name uncultured bacterium. RNAcentral's name for it is "partial 16S ribosomal RNA". It matches the Rfam family "Bacterial small subunit ribosomal RNA", at positions 29 to 507 of the family's 1533-position model. The record is from RNAcentral.